This 45-nucleotide non-coding RNA is filed under the name Trichobilharzia regenti. The record is from RNAcentral. Lineage: Eukaryota; Metazoa; Platyhelminthes; Trematoda; Strigeidida; Schistosomatidae.
ACCCGGAUGACGAGUCCCAAACAGGACGAAAUGCACAUCCUGGAC